Molecule: ribosomal RNA, 250 nt
Filed under: uncultured Actinomycetales bacterium
Lineage: Bacteria; Bacillati; Actinomycetota; Actinomycetes; Actinomycetales
Description: partial 16S ribosomal RNA
Rfam family: Bacterial small subunit ribosomal RNA
Source: RNAcentral
CUGGAGUACUCGAGUGGCGAACGGGUGAGUAACACGUGGGUAAUCUGCCCUGCACUUUGGGAUAAGCCUGGGAAACUGGGUCUAAUACUGGAUAUGACCUUUCUCCUUAUGGGGUUUGGUGGAAAGUUUUUCGGUGUAGGAUGAGCCCGCGGCCUAUCAGCUUGUUGGUGGGGUGAUGGCCUACCAAGGCGACGACGGGUAGCCGGCCUGAGAGGGUGAUCGGCCACAUUGGGACUGAGAUACGGCCCAG